UGCUCCCUCCAUACGGUUUCUCGACCGCGCUCGUAGCCAGACCUACCAGGUUUUAAUUGGUGUAAAAUGACCAGCAGGAAAUUCGGUGGGCGUCAGCCGACGGGUACUCCGUCCGUCGGUUGGUCGGCCGUCGUCGUCAUCGCGUCGCUGCUUGCUGGCGCCUCCGUCGUCCACAACAUUUUCAAGCCCGAUUUGGCAUAAAUAGACUUACGCACAAGGGCCAUGUAUACCUGGUAGGUGGGUUAGCUUAAGGCCCCCAGUUGAAGGAGCCCUGGAGUUCAUUGCGUUGUCUGUGCAUCAUCUUCCCCAAGGUUCACGAUGAGGGGUAACACAAGGAUUUUACACCAAGAGAUAACUGGAAUUGGAACACGACAUUGAAUACAUGUGCCUCUUGGGUCUCAUGCCAACAUAUCCAAAGCACUUGUAGUUUCCCGUAUGAUCAAAGAAAAUAAGAAGCCAGUCUUGACAUAAGACACUGCGGCCAUGUUGAACCAAUAUUUCGCCAUGAAGGAAUCAGACAUUGCCACCAGUAGAGCAAGUUGAGGAAGGAGAUAAAGCACCCACGAAUUUUAAAGGUCGAUAAUAUUGCAAGCAUGGAAACAGAAGAUAUCUGGACAAGGAUGAUGCUUUAGAAAGAUUUCAAGAUGGCUACCUUUGACUUAUUUUGUAUGUCUCAUUACAGACUGGGAAAUGUAAAUGCAGAAAGCCGGCAGAGGAAAACAAUUACCAUUGGUGAUUUCAUUGUUUUCAUUAUGGAAUCUCUUAAGACAUGCCACAUAUUCUCUCUGCAAACAGCACAUUAUUCUGCAUGGCAUCGCUAAUGGGCCAUUUGGCAACAGUAAUCAUAUGAAACACUCUUUAUAGUAUUUGAAAUCUGUCCCAAUUUCUAGGGCAGAUUCAUGAAA
This is an RNA transcript of Nymphaea colorata (pocket water lily), 905 nucleotides long. RefSeq lists it as uncharacterized. The transcript has 3 exons. The record is from RefSeq and is a predicted model, not a curated record. Lineage: Eukaryota; Viridiplantae; Streptophyta; Magnoliopsida; Nymphaeales; Nymphaeaceae.